This 460-nucleotide ribosomal RNA is filed under the name uncultured bacterium. RNAcentral describes it as "partial 16S ribosomal RNA". It matches the Rfam family "Bacterial small subunit ribosomal RNA", at positions 338 to 795 of the family's 1533-position model. The record is from RNAcentral.
CCUACGGGUGGCAGCAGUGAGGAAUAUUGGUCAAUGGACGAGAGUCUGAACCAGCCAAGUAGCGUGAAGGAUGACUGCCCUAUGGGUUGUAAACUUCUUUUAUCUGGGAAUAAAAUGUUCCACGUGUGGGAUUUUGUAUGUACCAUAUGAAUAAGGAUCGGCUAACUCCGUGCCAACAGCCGCGGUAAUACGGAGGAUCCGAGCGUUAUCCGGAUUUAUUGGGUUUAAAGGGAGCGUAGGGGGAUUGUUAAGUCAGUGGGGAAAGGUUGCGGCUCAACCGUAAAAUUGCAGUUGAAAUGGGCAGUCUUGAGUACAGUAGAGGUGGGCGGAAUUCGUGGUGUAGCGGUGAAAUGCUUAGAUAUCACGAAGAACUCCGAUUGCGAAGGCAGUUCACUGGACUGCAACUGACACUGAGGCUCGAAAGUGUGGGUAUCAAACAGGAUUAGAUACCCGAGUAGUC